GGUUGGUCCGAGUACAGGUGUGUUUACAACUAUUUGAUCAUAACCAGUUACAGAUUCCUUUGUUCCUUCUCCACUCCCACUGCUUCAUUUGACCAGCCUUCA
This 102-nucleotide Y RNA is filed under the name Propithecus coquereli (Coquerel's sifaka). RNAcentral's name for it is "Y RNA (ENSPCOG00000012228.1)". It matches the Rfam family "Y RNA". Rfam says of the family: Y RNAs are components of the Ro ribonucleoprotein particle (Ro RNP), in association with Ro60 and La proteins. The Y RNAs and Ro60 and La proteins are well conserved, but the function of the Ro RNP is not known. Lineage: Eukaryota; Metazoa; Chordata; Mammalia; Primates; Indriidae. The record is from Rfam by way of RNAcentral.